Equus caballus (horse) is the source of this 1153-nucleotide non-coding RNA. The record is from RefSeq and is a predicted model, not a curated record. NCBI's taxonomy places the organism in Eukaryota, Metazoa, Chordata, Mammalia, Perissodactyla, Equidae.
CCCAGAACAGCACUGGCAUCCGGGAACUGAGAACGAUGCUGUGAUCCAGAAGUCACGUCAGAUGGGAACGGUGGCCAGUUUUGGACAAGAUAGAGCCCCCUGUCUUCCAGGGACACCAGACAAGAGGCCAAGACUGUGCCUUUGUCCAGAAGCCAAAAGCAAACCAAGAAGGCAUGACCGGGUUCCAGAAGUACACGCCAUAGGACAGCCCUCCAAGACUUCUAGAGAGGACCUGAAGCUGAGGAAAGCCCUCCACUGAAGGGCUCAACCCACUUCUUCCUCCUCCUGGCAGACGGCCUGAAAGAGGGCACAGCUCUCUAACAUAUGAGUGUGCAAAGGACCUCUCCUUCUCCAGCCCUGGGUGUGAAGAGGUCUACCCCAGGCAAGUUCCUCUUUCAACCAACUCCCAGACCCCAUACAAAGAAGGGGAUUCUGAGAUAUGUAACUCCCAGAUUAACCAAACUGCUGUGACACAAAUCAGGUGAGCUCCUGCCCCACGCAUCCCUGCAGCCUGCUCUCCUCCACCCCAAACCCAUGCCCUGGUCCCAGACUAUUCGUGCCCCCGCUAUGCUGUGCCUUCGAUUUGGACACCCUGCCUCCCUGCUUUAGCUGAUCAACGCUACUUCAACCUCAGGAUCUGGCCCCAGAGACCCAUUCCCUGGGAAGUCUUUCCUCUCUGAGACACCCGCUCUCCCAUGUGCUCCCCGAGAACUUGGUACAAACUCAUAAUGUACCUCCAGUGGCCUGCUGUGUCUUCCUGGUCCCCCGGGUCAUGGAGUAUCUUAGGAACAAGCAGCGUGCCGGCGCCCAAGGAGCUAGUGCUGGGGGUGUGGGGUUCCCUGGGAGGGAGCCAGGCUCCCCUGGCAUGGAAGCCACUUAAUCACUGGUGUGCUGUGCUUCAGAAUGCCCUGGGGAGCUUGCUAAAAAUUCAGGCUCCCAGUCCUCCCCUCCCUAAGAUUCUGAUUCAGUGUCUCUGGAGCUGGGCCCAGGAAUCUGCAUUUUAAAGCAAAUGUCACAAAUGAUUCUUCAUCACACCAGGUUGACUCUGACCGGCCUGAAUCUUUUCUUUUUACAGUUUAAGUCUGAUUCUUUCAUCAGAGAAAGUUCUGCCUUUUCUAACAACAAAAUAAAUGACUUUUACAAAGUUUAUUAA